RNAcentral lists this ribosomal RNA (460 nucleotides) under uncultured bacterium. RNAcentral's name for it is "partial 16S ribosomal RNA". It matches the Rfam family "Bacterial small subunit ribosomal RNA", at positions 338 to 795 of the family's 1533-position model. The record is from RNAcentral.
CCUACGGGCGGCAGCAGUGAGGAAUAUUGGUCAAUGGACGAGAGUCUGAACCAGCCAAGUAGCGUGAAGGAUGACUGCCCUAUGGGUUGUAAACUUCUUUUAUAUGGGAAUAAAAUGUACCAUGUGUGGGAUUUUGUAUGUACCAUAUGAAUAAGGAACGGCUAACUCCGUUCCAGCAGACUCGGUAAUACGGAGGAUCCGAGCGUUAUCCGGAUUUAUUGGGUUUAAAGGGAGCGUAGGUGGAUUGGUAAGUCAGUUGUGAAUGUUUGAAGCUCAACCGUAAAAUUGCAGUUGAGACUGGCAGUCUGGAGUACAGUAGAGGUGGGCGGAAUUCGUGGUGUAGCGGUGAAAUGCGUAGAUAUCCCGAAGAACUCCGAUUGCGAAGGCAGCUUCCUGGACUGAAACUGACGCUGAGGCUCGAAAGUGUGGGUAUCAAACAGGAUUAGAUACCCGUGUAGUC